RNAcentral lists this unclassified non-coding RNA (191 nucleotides) under rhizosphere metagenome. Its description in RNAcentral is "partial ribosomal RNA internal transcribed spacer region". The record is from RNAcentral.
GAGUUCAUGCCCUUCGGGGUAGAUCUCCCACCCUUGUGUAUCAUUAUCAAAUGUUGCUUUGGCGGGCCGCAAGCCUGGCUUGCCCGGAUUCGCGUCCGGCGUGCCCGCCAGAGGAUCCUAAACUCUGAAUGUUAGUGUCGUCUGAGUAUUAUUAAAUAGUUAAAACUUUCAACAACGGAUCUCUUGGUUCU